CUGCCAAGAUUAAGCCAUGCAUGUCUAAGUAUAAGCAACUAUACGGUGAAACUGCGAAUGGCUCAUUAAAUCAGUUAUCGUUUAUUUGAUAGUACCUUACUACAUGGAUAACCGUGGUAAUUCUAGAGCUAAUACAUGCUAAAAACCUCGACUUCGGAAGGGGUGUAUUUAUUAGAUAAAAAACCAAUGCCCUUCGGGGCUCCUUGGUGAAUCAUAAUAACUUAACGAAUCGCAUGGCCUUGCGCCGGCGAUGGUUCAUUCAAAUUUCUGCCCUAUCAACUUUCGAUGGUAGGAUAGUGGCCUACCAUGGUAUCAACGGGUAACGGGGAAUUAGGGUUCGACUCCGGAGAGGGAGCCUGAGAAACGGCUACCACAUCCAAGGAAGGCAGCAGGCGCGCAAAUUACCCAAUCCCGACACGGGGAGGUAGUGACAAUAAAUACUGAUACAGGGCUCUUUUGGGUCUUGUAAUUGGAAUGAGUACAAUUUAAAUCCCUUAACGAGGAACAAUUGGAGGGCAAGUCUGGUGCCAGCAGCCGCGGUAAUUCCAGCUCCAAUAGCGUAUAUUAAAGUUGUUGCAGUUAAAAAGCUCGUAGUUGAACCUUGGGCCUGGCUGGCCGGUCCGCCUCACCGCGUGUACUGGUCCGGCCGGGCCUUUCCUUCUGGGGAACCUCAUGCCCUUCACUGGGCGUGUUGGGGAACCAGGACUUUUACUUUGAAAAAAUUAGAGUGUUCAAAGCAGGCCUUUGCUCGAAUACAUUAGCAUGGAAUAAUAGAAUAGGACGUGUGGUUCUAUUUUGUUGGUUUCUAGGACCGCCGUAAUGAUUAAUAGGGAUAGUCGGGGGCAUCAGUAUUCAAUCGUCAGAGGUGAAAUUCUUGGAUUGAUUGAAGACUAACUACUGCGAAAGCAUUUGCCAAGGAUGUUUUCAUUAAUCAGUGAACGAAAGUUAGGGGAUCGAAGACGAUCAGAUACCGUCGUAGUCUUAACCAUAAACUAUGCCGACUAGGGAUCGGACGGUGUUAGUAUUUUGACCCGUUCGGCACCUUACGAGAAAUCAAAGUUUU
RNAcentral lists this ribosomal RNA (1063 nucleotides) under Cladosporium sp. RNAcentral's name for it is "SSU rRNA". It matches the Rfam family "Eukaryotic small subunit ribosomal RNA", at positions 36 to 1107 of the family's 1831-position model. The record is from RNAcentral. Lineage: Eukaryota; Fungi; Ascomycota; Dothideomycetes; Cladosporiales; Cladosporiaceae.